RNAcentral lists this ribosomal RNA (492 nucleotides) under uncultured bacterium. RNAcentral's name for it is "partial 16S ribosomal RNA". It matches the Rfam family "Bacterial small subunit ribosomal RNA", at positions 29 to 507 of the family's 1533-position model. The record is from RNAcentral.
AGUGAACGCUGGCGGUAGGCCUAACACAUGCAAGUCGAACGACAAGACAGUAAGAUCGUUCUCUUACGGUUGGCGAGUGGCGGACGGGUGAGGAAUACAUCAGAAUCUACUUUUUCGUGGGUGAUAACGGAGGGACACUUACGCUAAUACCUCAUACGUCCUACGGGUUAAAGCAGUGGUUCUUCGGACCUUGCGUGAUUGAAUGAGCCGAUGUCGGAUUAGCUAGUUGGCUAGGUAAGGGCCCACCAAGGCGACGAUGCGUAGCCGGCCUGAGAGGAUGAUCGGCCACACUGGAACUGAGACACGGUCCAGACUCCUACGGGAGGCAGCAGUAGGGAAUAUUGGGCAAUGGGCGCAAGCCUGAUGCAGCCAUACCGCGUGAGUGAAGAAGGCCUUCGGGUUGUAAAGCCCUUUUGUUAGGGAAGAAAAAAAGCAGGUUUAAACACCGAUGUCCUGACGGUACCCAAACAAUAAGCACCGGCUAACUUCGUG